UAUCUUCUCUGCAAAGGACCUCAUACGA
Molecule: non-coding RNA, 28 nt
Filed under: Bombyx mori (domestic silkworm)
Lineage: Eukaryota; Metazoa; Arthropoda; Insecta; Lepidoptera; Bombycidae
Source: RNAcentral